Molecule: non-coding RNA, 74 nt
Organism: Rhypophila decipiens
Lineage: Eukaryota; Fungi; Ascomycota; Sordariomycetes; Sordariales; Naviculisporaceae
Source: the annotation of a GenBank genome assembly
ACCGUCCUAGCUUAGUGGUAAAGCGUCCUCGAGUCACAUUGAGGAAGAGAGCAGUUCGAUUCUGCUGGGCGGCA